CUACAUCAUUGACACUCGCCCUUUAAGUGUGGACGUGUAUUGGAACAGCAUGUUGACGUCCCGCCUCCCCACAUGAGCUAUAAAAACGGUUGCUGGAAAGGAUUUUAUUCUUUUCGACUCUCGCUUAUCGUCUUAUACAACUAUCAGUGUUUCAAAUAUGCUGAAAACUUUGCUGACUUGAUUUUUGCUUCAUUGUUGCCCUUGUAAGAGUACAGACUGCAGUCAAGACAUGGUUCUGAACCUCUUACUGUAAAUAUUCUGGAUGAAGUUGGAUUAUACCCAAUAUUAACUCUGAAAGCUGUUUAAAAAACACAUGCCUUGUUAUAGGAUGUCUACGAUUAUGGUCUGUUUUCUGACUUCAAUCAAUCUUCGGUGACUUGCUAGAAACUUCAAAUUUGUUAAGAACAGGCCAAAAAUAGGAAGCAACAUCUCUCCAUUCUGUAUACAAUGUUGAUCAGCAGGAAUACCUGCUAUUCUGUUUCAAAAAUCUGUAAAUGUAUUGCCGUUUCUUGUGGAGUAAGGUAACUGGAUUAAGUGUACCUCAGCUGCAAAAAUGAGUCCUUCCCACAAAUUGCUACAGCCUGACUGGACUUCCCAGGCAAGUCCUUCUGGAUGUUCCAGUUGCAGGUUUUGAAAGUGAACUGUUCCAGGCUUCUUCCUAGAGGUUGCCGAAUGUCUUGUGGCUUCAGUAAACUAAAUGGAUGUUGAAGCAAGGAUUAAAAGCACCUGCGCUUUUGGCAGUCAUACACAGAGGCCUAAAUGUGGAGUGGAUGAAGUCUACACAAGUCUAGUCAGAUCAUUGGGCCAUGUCAACGAGGAGCAUGGAAUUUGUGUGAAACUCAUGAUGUAGUGAAGUUCCUGAUCCUGCAGAGAAACUCCAAUGGAAAUCCAUUAAUGUAUGACAUUGAGUGAAGGAUGCCCUUCAACUGUGAAGUAGUGUGCAAACUUUCAGCAUGGAAAUGGAGACUGAAGAUGCAGCAAGGUCUGGGAGGCGUCUGUCUGCUUCUCAUUGUUCACCAUGUCAUUACCUGAUUUUUUUUGGCACAUAGAUAAUUUGUUACAGCAGUUGACCCACUACAGAUA
Long non-coding RNA from Protopterus annectens (West African lungfish), 1083 nucleotides. RefSeq lists it as uncharacterized. The record is from RefSeq and is a predicted model, not a curated record. NCBI's taxonomy places the organism in Eukaryota, Metazoa, Chordata, Ceratodontiformes, Protopteridae. The transcript is spliced from 6 exons.